UUGAUUGGUGCUUGCAUCAUGAUUUACAUUUGAGUGAGUGGCGAACUGGUGAGUAACACGUGGGAAACCUGCCCAGAAGCGGGGGAUAACACCUGGAAACAGAUGCUAAUACCGCAUAACAACUUGGACCGCAUGGUCCGAGCUUGAAAGAUGGCUUCGGCUAUCACUUUUGGAUGGUCCCGCGGCGUAUUAGCUAGAUGGUGGGGUAACGGCUCACCAUGGCAAUGAUACGUAGCCGACCUGAGAGGGUAAUCGGCCACAUUGGGACUGAGACACGGCCCAAACUCCUACGGGAGGCAGCAGUAGGGAAUCUUCCACAAUGGACGAAAGUCUGAUGGAGCAACGCCGCGUGAGUGAAGAAGGGUUUCGGCUCGUAAAACUCUGUUGUUAAAGAAGAACAUAUCUGAGAGUAACUGUUCAGGUAUUGACGGUAUUUAACCAGAAAGCCACGGCUAACUACGUGCCAGCAGCCGCGGUAAUACGUAGGUGGCAAGCGUUGUCCGGAUUUAUUGGGCGUAAAGCGAGCGCAGGCGGUUUUUUAAGUCUGAUGUGAAAGCCUUCGGCUCAACCGAAGAAGUGCAUCGGAAACUGGGAAACUUGAGUGCAGAAGAGGACAGUGGAACUCCAUGUGUAGCGGUGAAAUGCGUAGAUAUAUGGAAGAACACCAGUGGCGAAGGCGGCUGUCUGGUCUGUAACUGACGCUGAGGCUCGAAAGUAUGGGUAGCAAACAGGAUUAGAUACCCUGGUAGUCCAUACCGUAAACGAUGAAUGCUAAGUGUUGGAGGGUUUCCGCCCUUCAGUGCUGCAGCUAACGCAUUAAGCAUUCCGCCUGGGGAGUACGGCCGCAAGGCUGANCUCAAAGGAAUUGACGGGGGCCCGCACAAGCGGUGGAGCAUGUGGUUUAAUUCGAAGCUACGCGAAGAACCUUACCAGGUCUUGACAUACUAUGCAAAUCUAAGAGAUUAGACGUUCCCUUCGGGGACAUGGAUAC
RNAcentral lists this ribosomal RNA (991 nucleotides) under Lactiplantibacillus plantarum. Its description in RNAcentral is "bacterial SSU rRNA". It matches the Rfam family "Bacterial small subunit ribosomal RNA", at positions 69 to 1035 of the family's 1533-position model. Lineage: Bacteria; Bacillati; Bacillota; Bacilli; Lactobacillales; Lactobacillaceae. The record is from RNAcentral.